AAAUGCGAUAAGUAAUGUGAAUUGCAGAAUUCAGUGAAUCAUCGAAUCUUUGAACGCACCUUGCGCUCCUUGGUAUUCCUUGGAGCAUGCCUGUUUGAGUAUCAUGAAAUCUUCAAAGUAAAUCUUUUGUUAACUCAAUUGGUUUCUACUUUGGUAUUGGAGGUCUUUGCAGCUUCACACCUGCUCCUCUUUGUUCAUUAGCUGGAUCUCAGUGUUAUGCUUGGUUCCACUCGGCGUGAUAAGUUAUCUAUCGCUGAGGACACUGUAAAAGGUGGCCAAGGUAAAUGCAGAUGAACCGCUUCUAAUAGUCCAUUGACUUGGACAAUACUUUUAUGAUCUGAUCUCAAAUCAGGUAGGACUACCCGCUGAUCUUAAGC
RNAcentral lists this unclassified non-coding RNA (377 nucleotides) under plant metagenome. Its description in RNAcentral is "partial contains 5.8S ribosomal RNA, internal transcribed spacer 2, and large subunit ribosomal RNA". The stretch from base 1 to 104 matches the Rfam family "5.8S ribosomal RNA", at positions 51 to 154 of the family's 154-position model. The record is from RNAcentral.